GGAUGUGAGGGAGAUCUGGCUGUGAAAUUUGUCAUCCCAUUGAUUGCUAGGGUUGAUCCAGCUGAUCUGGUUUAUUAGGCAAAUGUUCCCUGCCUCCCUUACUGCUCUAUGUGCAUCCUUCCCAAAGCUGCUCACUCAGUUAGAGAGGAUGAGUAUCCCCACUGAAGGAGGACCAUUCUUCGGUCUUGGAUAUCUGAACCUCCAAACAAGCUAUCUCAAGAAAUCCAACUGCUCCAGGAACACCAUACUGAAGAGGUCAUGGGUAGGUCU
RNAcentral lists this small nuclear RNA (270 nucleotides) under Carlito syrichta (Philippine tarsier). RNAcentral describes it as "7SK RNA (ENSTSYG00000020307.2)". The stretch from base 1 to 199 matches the Rfam family "7SK RNA". From Rfam's summary of the family: 7SK was discovered as an abundant small nuclear RNA in the mid-70s but a possible function has only recently been suggested. The record is from RNAcentral. Lineage: Eukaryota; Metazoa; Chordata; Mammalia; Primates; Tarsiidae.